ACACUUCACAUUAAGCGCAGAACGCCUAUAUCGGAUGCGUCGGAGCGAUCCGACUAUGACGAUAAAUUGCAGCGUGCAAUAGGCACAACGGACCCGGGGGCAGUACCCGGCGGCUCCACCAUAAACCCCGGGAAACCGGGGGUUCUGACGGGGCCGAACCAGGAUCGACGUGGGCUGAAAAGCGUUGUUUUCGUCCGGGCUGAGUAACCCGUUAAAGGCUCAAAACCCAUAAGUGCCAACGAUAACGAAGCACUCGCUCUCGCUGCGUAAUUUUAAGGCCUAACGGCCUGAAUUUACAAAGCUAAAGCGCGGUUGGACCCACCGGGCAACAGAAGCGGAUUCCG
This is a non-coding RNA of Erythrobacter litoralis, 344 nucleotides long. NCBI's taxonomy places the organism in Bacteria, Pseudomonadati, Pseudomonadota, Alphaproteobacteria, Sphingomonadales, Erythrobacteraceae. The record is from Rfam.